Molecule: transfer RNA, 100 nt
Filed under: Annulohypoxylon nitens
Lineage: Eukaryota; Fungi; Ascomycota; Sordariomycetes; Xylariales; Hypoxylaceae
Description: tRNA-Arg
Rfam family: tRNA
About the family: Transfer RNA (tRNA) molecules are approximately 80 nucleotides in length.
Source: RNAcentral
GGGUUCAUGGCCUAAUGGUAAGGCGUCAGAUUUCGGUUCUGUAUGUUUGUAUAGAAUAACUGUCCUCUGAAGAUUGCAGGUUCGAUCCCUGCUGAGCUCG